Anolis sagrei ordinatus is the source of this 215-nucleotide non-coding RNA. The record is from RefSeq and is a predicted model, not a curated record. NCBI's taxonomy places the organism in Eukaryota, Metazoa, Chordata, Lepidosauria, Squamata, Anolidae.
CAGAGUAGCCCUUCGCCCUCCAUAACAAUUCCAGCCUCUCCUUUCAUGCAGAAGCUUGGCUAUGGGACUGGAGUCAGCGUUUACCUGAUGAAAAGGUCUCCGAAAGGCAUGCCUUGCUCUCCCUGGGCCGUGAAGAAAAUCAAUCCCGGAUGUGACUCCAACCAGCGAAAUACGUAUCAAAAGCGGCUGAAUGAGGAAGCCAGCAUUCUGAAAAA